CGACAUAGAUUCUGGUGCAUUGGUUGAAAUAUUACAUGAAUGCCCGUCAAAGUAAUAUAUGCAAUGUUCUUAUUCAUGGGUGUUUGAUGACAAUUCAGUGUUUCUUUCCAGUGUUUGGGGAAGGAGGGUCAUUGCCCAUAGGGUGGGGAACAAGUGCGUGUUAAUGGUUAAGUUGGGGAAUUUUGUCUGUGUCAAUAUGCAAUUUUUUUAAUUUAUAAAUACAAUAAAAUCAUCUGCAUAAUGUAAUGGACGUAAAUAAUGUCUAAUCUAAAUUUUAUAAUUAUUUAAGUAAUUUGAAGAUCUUUUAGCGUCCUACUUACACACUAUCAACCCAAGGAUAGUAGAUUUUGUUAUAUUUAUCACAAUUAUGUUUUUAUUAUCCCCACCGAAAAAAAAUUCGGAGGGGAUAUAAUUGGUCCUGUCCGUCCGUCUGUGCGUCUAUCCGAAACCUUUGUCCGGAGCAUAACUCUAAAACUACUGAAGGGAUUUACUUGAAACUUGCAGGGCUUUUUUUCCUUCUUUGCGAUUGGCCGUGGACGGACAUUUCACAAUUUUGACACGGCCAAUUCACAAACCUGACAUGGCCGUGAAUAUUUACAAAAACGGCCGUUUUAAAUCGUGAAAAACGGACUUUUUGUGCUCAAAACUGUCAAAAACGGCCAUUUCGGAACAGAAAUAUAAGUUUCAUAACCUCGUUUUUAAUUCCGAAUUCGCGAAAAACUGUCGACUCGCGUUACCGAUGUUUGUUUGUUUUAAUCGAUUUUAAAGUGUUGUGUAACCGGUGAAACCGGCGUAAAUAGUAAAAGCUCUGCCCAGCAACGUCACUAUAAAAAAUGGCGACGCCGAACGCUCUCUACUACACGAAGAAAAUAAAAAAAAAACGCAAAAUAAUCCCGAUUUAUUAAAAUUUGGGAUAACAGUAAAGAAACAAAAGCUUUCUACAGAAGGAUCAAAUGACAACCUCCCAGGGAGAUCAUCAUACACUGGCGAGGGUCAGGCUCACAGAACAUGAAAAUUAUCAUGAAGAAGGAAUUUUCCUCUUCAGAUUUUGAGAGAAUUAUUGACAUUUUCAAGAGUAAAAAGAACAGAGUUCUAAAGCUGUAAAGUCCAGAACAUGUCUGAGUUAUGUGCCCUUGAAAUGUUCUAUGUUUAUAAAUGUUAUUCCUGUGGUAAAGAAUUGUUGGGACCAGGUAUUUUAGUUGCAUUUGGUACAUGAAUGUUUUGCAAAUCAGAUAUAUGUAUAUGUGUUGUUAUUGUAUCAAAUACAGUAUUCAUAGAAGGAAAAUAUGCCUUUAUUGCAUGAUUUAAGGAAAUUUUGAUAAUAUUCAAGUGUUUAACAUGCUUUAGCUAUGCUAAUGCAUUGAACUUUGAAUUUCACAAUUUAAAGAAGUUCGCGACUCGUUUUUUCACAAUUUUAAGAAGUUCGCGACUCAAUUUUUCACAAUUUUGAAAAGUUCGCGACUCAAUUUUUCACAAUUUUGACAAGUUCGCGACUCAUUUUUUCACAAGGUGAGGGGCCAGGGCCGCUUCACAAAGUCAGGAAAAAAAGCCCUGACUUGUAAUAUAAACAGAUGGCAACUAGGAGAAGUGCAGUGACCAAGAACCAUAACUCUAUCGGCCAUAGUUUUAAUGUCAUAAAUACAUACCUGCUAUCCUAGCUAUACCUUUCUAGGAGGGUUAGCUUCUCCAGAAAUCUUCAAGUACCGGAAUUCGGCCACCUCUCUAACUGAAAACAGAACUGGUUAAACAUAGAACAAUGUAACCUAACCGGAAAUCAAGAACCGUAACUCAUCUUACUUUUCUUGAGAACGCCGUGCAGUUUGCCAUUUUUCAUCGGAUCUGAAAUUUGGUUGUUUUUAUUAUAUUCUGCGUGGUAUAUGGGUUUGAAAUUGAUGAAUUAGAUAAUUUAUCGUUUCUGCUUUAUUCAGAAAUCUUUUUUUCGUAUUAUUUUGUUAUUAUUUAAUUGAUUAUCAACACUUUGCCGGGUUUUUACAUGUGCUCAUGAAUUGUGCACGUGCAUUUCGUGGCCUUUUUUGUCAACAAGUAUUGACUUUAUUGUACAGUAUUUCUGCUUUGCUUUACUGUUUAUUUCAAUUAUCAUUGUUGUUUUUUUAUGAAAUAUUCGGCGUUAUUCGGACCCAUUCCCCCAUCUGUAGAGAAUAUAUUUUCCCCCCAAAUAUUUGAAAAAUUCCCCUCUCGGAAGUGUAAUUCAAUUUUAAUCAAUGCCUCAUUUAAAUAAUUCACAGAAAAGCCAAAAAAAAUUGAUCUUUGAACAUGAACAUAACAUGUUGAUGAAAAAAAGAGUUGGAAUAAUGUUUUUCUCUAUGUAUGGUGAAUUAAAUUAUUAAAACUUGAUUUUGUUCUGUUACUUGCUAAGCAUUUAAAUUUCCCCUUUACGCACAAUUUUUUUCUCCCUCAGGGGACCCGACCCCUUUCCCCCAAAACUGAAAAAAAAACACUGAUUAUUUUGUUCAAAGUAACUGUUCUCUUACGUAGAUUUCUUUCUUUCUAAGAAUGAAUUUACAAAUAAGAGGCUCUUGUGGACACAUUAAGGCUUCGUGGGAUUCCCACAAGAAUUGUUUGUCUUGUACUAAUUGUACCAUUGAACAUAAAUGUUCUGUUUGCAGUGCUUGGGAUGAUGCGACGUGGCAGAGAGCAAUCCGUUGCAGAACGUUUCUAAGCAGAAAACGGACAGAUGAAACUUCAUCAGAUGAGAAAGUCCCGGUGACUUUGCAGACUUCGGACGAGAAAUUGCUGCAUCAGUCACUGGGUAUAGGGCAAGAUGGAGUUCGUUCUAUGCUAACUUCAUAAGAAAGUCGAUAAACAUCAGACCAUAUGGUGACAACCGUCAGCCGGUCUAUGCCCGAUGGCAUUGGUCAAGGAAUACGGCCAAUGCCAGACCAUUUGGCAGCCGCCAUACUGUCAUUGCCUGGUGACAACACUGGUCAUAGUAUGACCGGUAUGUUACCGGGGACCGGUCUGGUCACCGGUCCAUGGCACCGAUCCGUGAAACCGGUCAACGGGGACAGGUCCGUUUACCAGUCUGUGGUACCGGUCACCGGGGUACGGUCACCGGUCCAUUGAACCAGGGACGGGUCCGGUCACCGGUCCAUGAAACUGGUCACCGGGGACCGGUCUGGUCACCGGUCUUCUAUCAACAGUGACCAGUCAAUACCACCGGUCACCAGGGACCGGUCUGGUCACCGGUCAAUACGUAUGGUCACCGGUCAAUACCACCGGUCACCAACCACCGGUCUGGUCAAUACCACCAGUCAUCGAUCACCAGGGACCAGUCCAGUCACAGGUCAAUACUACCGGUCAACGGUCAACAGUCAGUACUACCGGUUAACGGUCACAGUUCACCGGUCAUCGAUCGAGAAAGAGACAUCGAUCAUCUUCAUCAGACUAUUCCUCCUCCUCUUCUUCUUCAAAGGCAUCUGAGUCGUCAACUAGUACUGACAAUAGAGCUAGACGUCUUAACCGAUCACCUUUAUCGUGUAGCCCUCAUUCACGGCGUCGAUAUGAUCGGUAUCGAUCAUCUCGAGACUCUAGGAGACGUUAUUCUAGGAGACGUCGUUCCCAUCGAAGCCGAUCUGUUUUUCGGCAUUGUAGGGAUAAAACUCGUCGUUAUGCUUCACGUAAACAGUGUCCCUCUGACUACAAUUAUCCUACACAGUACUAUCCUGUCUCGGAUUGUAAUGUUGCUGUAUCCUAUGUACCAGCUCCAGUUUCCAGUUUAACAUUAUUAAAUGUUGCUGUGACUGGUACUACUUCGCAGACUUUGUCUUCUGGUGUUGUUCUCACCACUACAGAUACUCACUCAGCUCCACAAGUUGCGGCUACGCUACCUAUUCAGGUACCUCCUACUGCGACAUCGUAUAAUCCGGACACUUUAUGGCUUCAAGAUUCCUAUGGACAAUUCGUUCCAGUCAAUCCUGAUAAUUUACCGUCAUCUUCCGGUUUUAAUUAUCAGUGUGUUGAUUGUGUAGAUGGUCAUUCAUCAUUACCAGAUACUCGCAAUCUGGUGCAUGAUAAUCGGCCUAGUAUUUCCACUUUGGUUUCUGCUGAUUCUAUGCACACAGCUGGUGUUGUAGACAAUGAGGCCGAUUCGGAGGUAGAUCCCAAUGAUGACACUGAUCAAUAUUUGUCAUCAAUUAAUCAGAUAUAUGAACUGAUAUUUCAAACUCUUGGUGAUGAUUAUUGCCCAAGACCUGCGGAGAUGUGUACUAAUUCGACGAUUUCUAUUACGGAAAAAUUAGUUCGUACUUUUGAUCCCAACAGGCUUUCUAAGGCUACGUCUCGCAUUGAUCAGUUUUUCAAUCGUUGGAAUCAGCUUAUAAGACCAUUCCAAAACGAGGAGAACUGUGGAAGGUGCCUAAGGACUUACCUGAUCCUAAGCAUAAUGAACGUACUAGAAGCUACAAGCCUCCCGUACCAGAUCCAACCUCCAGAUUGGAUUUUGCCAAAUUACCGGUUUAGGAUCCUGACAUCAAUAAGCUGUUGCUUAAUAUGCCUACUUCUUCAACUUCUGUUUCUGUUCCUUAUUCAAUGUUGGAACAUUGGGAAGUGAGAGAACGCAUAUCUCUAGGUCUUACCAACCAGAUAGAUCUCAUGCUAGCAACUAUUUUGCAGUUGGUGUGUGAUUGGUCAGACUCGGUUCCUGAAGAACUUCGUGAUUUGUUAAUUCAUCUUUCAUGAACGACAUUGUCUCUUUCACAUAAUGCUGCUUCUGCAAUGUCGGAGAUGCUAAGGAUUCAUAGAGAUCUUAUCCUUUCUUCUUUACCUAAAGAUUUUCUAUUAGAACCGGGUAUGAAUGCUCUCAGAACGGCACCUCUCUUAUCAGGAUUUCUUUGGUGGAAGGAUUCAAGACGCAAUUUCAGCGGACGAAGAUGAUCAACUUCAUGCUUCUUUAGCUAGAAACAACUCUGGACAACGCAAAAGGGCCUUUAAGCGACCUGCUUCUAGACCAAUGACAAAUCCAGUAGUUAAGAAGGAUUAGAGGAAUAACCUUUUCUCUAAAAGGCCUUCCUUGAAUCCUCGGUCAGUUCCUAACAAACAGUCAUCAUUUAACAGACCUUCUGUUUCUCAGAAAUCUUCUGUUAAGAAAUCUGGUAGGAAGAACAAGUCUAAGCGGGAUAAGAGUUAUUCCAGACCUUUUACCGGCAAGGGUGGACCGCCUGCUUAUCAGCCCUAGGUACUUACCCUUUCUACCGCCUUCUCCUUCGAUGCCGAAAAUACCAUUAGGGGCCAGACUUCUACAUUUUUCAAAUCGUUGGCUUUGUAUAACUUCGGACGCUUGCGUUCAUUCACUAGUUAAAGAAGGCCUGACUUUUCCAUUCGAAAACAGACCUCCACUUUCUCGCGUCCCUGUAGAGCUGGUAUCUCCGCAUCCACAGAUUCCAGAGUCCAUUCUCGGUCUCUUGGAAAAAUAGGCGGUAGAAAGAGUAACAGACCUUUAUUCUCCAGGAUAUAACAGUCGUCUUUUUCUUGUUCAAAAGAAAAAUGGUUCCUGGAGACCAGUAAUAGACUUAAAAGUUUUCAACAUGUUUCUACUCAAACCAACUUUCAAGAUGGAGACUCCUUCCUUCAUAAGGAAUUCCAUUAAAAUCUUCACUGGGGGUGUCCUUGGAUCUGGAAGAUGCAUACUUCCAUGCUCCUAUACAUCCCAACUACCGGAAGUACCUUCGUUUUGAAUUUCGAGGCCAGGUAUACCAGUUCCGAGCGAUGCCUUUUGGGUUGGCAACAGCUCCUCUAGUCUUUACCAAGCUUAUGGCUGCAGUAGGAGCACAUCUCCGAUUUCACGGUAUUCUGCUUCUUCAGUACUUCAACGACUGGCUGUUACACCAGCUUGAUCGUCAAUUGCUUCUGCAACAUCUGGAAUUUUCUUGGAAGGAACUCCUAUCAUAAGGGCUCCUUUUAAAUGCAGACAAAUCAGACCUCAUCCCAGCUCAAGAUUUCACUUUUGUGGGAAUGAAUUUCUUGACUCACAUCAACAAGGUCAGAGUGUCUCGUCAACGUAUAUCAGACCUUCUGCUGAAGGUCAAUUGGGUUAUGUCCCAAUCUCAUAUAACAGCUCAAAAGUUCCUAUCUCUCAACGGUAUCCUGAGCUCAGUAGCAGACUUGUCUACAAUGUUAUCGCAGAUUCCUAUUCUUCCGGAGUUAAUACCACAUCUUCAGUGGUGGCUAGAUGAGGAGACUCUCUUGGCAGGAGUGCCCCUUCUUCCUCCUCAACCGUCUUUGUAUCUUAUGACGGAUGCGAGCAAGGACGGGUGAGGUGCUCAUCUGGAACCACUCAGUCAGACAGUGUCAGGGUUGUGGUCUCAUCAGGAGUCACAUCUGCAUAUCAACAAUCUAGAAAUGCGAGCGGUAUUUCUAGCUGUAUCUCAUUUCCAGUCACAUCUUCGAGACUCUUGUGUGAUGGUGUCAACAGACAACACAUCAGUUGUGACUAACAUUCAGGCACAGGGGGGAAAACAUUCUCACUCCCUGUAUCUGGAAACCAAGGAAUUACUUGUUCUUUGCAAGACGCUCAACAUUUUUCUUCUGGCCAAAUAUAUUCCAGGUCGUCUCAACGCCCUGGCAGAUGGGUUGUCUCGCAAACACCAAUUACUUCCAUCGGAGUGGACACUUCAUCAGGAAGUGACCAAUCAGAUUUUUCUCAUGUUCGGUUAUCCACUAGUCGACCUAUAAGCAACCAGACACAAUCACAGACUUCUUCUGUAUGUGAGUCCGGUUUAUGAUCCAGCAGCGUGGGCAGUAGACACGCUUUCGUUCGAUUGGGACCAACUGGACGCUUACGCUUAUCCCCCACCCAUUCUGAUUUCCCAAAUAUUGGCGAAAAUCAGGGUGAGUUCGUGCCGCAUACUCCUGAUUGCCCCUUGGUGGCCCAGGAGAUCGUGGUUCAACGAUCUUCUCAGUCUCCUGUACGAUUAUCCCAGGACACUUCAUCACAGAUCAAAUCUUCUGUCUCAAAGAGGCAGACUUCAUGCGGAUCCAGCAAUGUUCCACUUACACGUCUGGCCGUUAUCAGGCAUUCUCUGCAGAAGAAACGCUUUUCUGUCAGGGCUUCAAACCUCAUUGCUUAUGCAAGAAGAAAAUCCACCAGAGCAGUCUAUGAUGCUCGAUGGAAACUAUUCUCUAAUUGGUGUAUUCGAGGGAAAAUUGAUCCCCUCAAUCCCUCUGCUAGACACAUAGCGGAUUUUCUCAUCUAUCUUUUUGAUGAUAAGAAACUUUCUCUUAGUUCCAUCAAAGGAUACAGAUUUAUGAUUUCUCAUACAUUGGCUUUUACUAAAACAUCCCAAUUCUGUUCUGAUCCAGCAAUUUCGGAACUGAUUCGAUCUAUUGAACUUAAACGUACUGUUUCUUGUACACUGGCACCUAAAUGGGAUUUGGCUUGUGUUCUUAAGUCGCUUACUAAGGCUCCAUAUGAGCCUCUAGAUCAAGCUUCUUUACAGUUGCUAACUUGGAAGACCGUUUUCCUUCUUACUAUGGCUUCAGCCAAAAGGAGAAGUGAAAUUCAUGCUCUUUCUAUCGAGGAUGGUCAUCUUCGUUUUGAUUCCUCAGAUGGAUCUGUAACGUUGUUGUGUCAGCCAGGAUUCCUUGCUAAAAAUCAACUCCCCUCUAUGGCUUCUAAACCUUUCAAAGUUCCAAGUCUUUCUAAUACUUGUAGACACGAAGAUGAUGAUAGACUUCUUUGCCUGGUCAGGGCGCUGAAGUGCUAUCUUAAAAAAGUAAAGUCUAUUUGAGGUUCUUGCAAAAGACUUUUCAUUCCAUUAAAAGGGGGGGGGGGUGUAUCUGCUGCAUCUAUUUCUCGUUGGGUAGCAUCGACUAUUAAGAAAGCUUAUUCAUCUCUCUCAUCUAGGGAUUUAUCCCGGUUUAAGAUUAAACCGCAUGAAUUAAGAGCUCUUUCGGCUUCUUGAGCGUAUAUUAAUAAUGUUCCACUUUCUGAAGUGCUUCAAGCUGCUUUCUGGAGGAAUCUAACCACCUUUUCCUCUUUCUAUCUUUGUUCUCUUGAGUGUCAACAACAAAAUUUAUAUAUGUUGGGUUCUCUUGCGGUUCUCAAAAAGUAGUUUCUUCCAUGGCGUAUUUGUGCUGGCGCUAUCCAGAAACUAAGGUACAAUACUGUACUAACAAAGAUUAUCUGAGGACAUAUUUCUACUAUCUCUGGCUGAAAAACCUGGUUAUGGGUUUUUGCUGUGAUGGGAAAAUAUAACGAGUACCUCCCGCCACAGCUUCAAAAUCAGCUAGGGAUAGCAGGUAUGUAUUUAUGACAUUAAAACAAAUUUUCUUAAAAUAAAAUUCAUUUUAAUUAUUAAAUACUUACCUGCUAUCGGUAAGUCCCACCUCCCACCCCACUCAUUGUUUAAUAUUUUCAUAAUUGCAUGACAAAUAAGAUGAGUUACGGUUCUUGAUUUCCAGUUAGGUUACAUUGUACUAUGUUUAACCUGAUCUGUUUUCAGUAAGAGAGGUGGCCUAAUUCCGGCACUUGAAGAUUGCUGGAGAAGCUAACGCUCCUAGAAAGGUAUAGCUAGGGAUAGCAGGUAAGUAUUUAAUAAUUAAAAUGAAUUUUAUUUUAAGAAAAUUUGUUUUUUAAUUACCUCCCUUUUUUCAUUUCCAUAUAUUAUAUUCUCUACAGCAUAACUCCAACACUAUGUAACUAAUUGAUCCUUGAAAUAUAAAUACCGGGUAGAUGACACAGGUGCCAUGUUUUACAAAUAUAUUAUUCUACUCCCUAAAACAAAAUGUUCUCAUACAAGAAAACACAUUUCGGCAGGGAUUUGGCACUACUGUGACAAGCUCUUGUUAUAUUUUAAUUUAAUAACAUUGCAUUCAUUUCUUGACAAUUCAAAAAAAACAAACAAUGAACAAACAAUUCUAAGAUAAAAAUACUAUAAUAAGCGGGGAAAGUGACGGAAUAUGGCCAUAAAACAACAUUCAAUCAGAUACUUUGUACAUUGUUUGAAAAUCUUUAAGGCAUUAAGCCAUACACUGGUAUAUUUGUAACUAGGUUUGCUCAGAUUUGAAGCCUUUUUAGGAUCUAUGUACUCAUGCAUGGUGAAAGGGCUCAGUAAUAAUAUUGAUUUCAAUAUUUUGAUGUAACAUUUUCUGUACUUAAUAAAAUAUUGUGAACAUUAUAACAUACAACUUAUUUUCGCAAAAUAACAAUUUUAUAAUUGGAGGUUACUUUAUCUACCAAAAUUAAACAUGACAAAUACAUGUAGUAUAUACCUAUUUCCACCUUUUGUUAAGUUUUUAUUUCUGAUCCAUAUUGGUAAUAACGUUCUUCAUCAAGUCUCUAA
Dreissena polymorpha is the source of this 9299-nucleotide long non-coding RNA. RefSeq lists it as uncharacterized. The record is from RefSeq and is a predicted model, not a curated record. NCBI's taxonomy places the organism in Eukaryota, Metazoa, Mollusca, Bivalvia, Myida, Dreissenidae. The transcript has 2 exons.